Molecule: long non-coding RNA, 722 nt
Organism: Drosophila willistoni
Lineage: Eukaryota; Metazoa; Arthropoda; Insecta; Diptera; Drosophilidae
Exons: 3
Source: RefSeq, a predicted model, not a curated record
UUUUGUGUAUGUAUGAUCAUCAUAUAUAAAUUAUCAAUCGUUCUGGGAACAGAAAAGAGUCGAUGCCACGUCUUCUUUCCUGGGUCUCGUUCCCCAAUUUAUUGACCAGGGUGUUGGGUUGGUAACUCAGGCACUGAACUGCAUACAGUGUCUGUUUGAAGUGGCCCUAUCAAAUUUUACAGAUAUCGCAAGGAGGCUCUAUAUGAUUAUGAAGGUCUCUAUAUACUCCAACAUAAUAGACAGAAUAAGAACUCAGCCAUACUCUGUCUGCGUGAUGCAACAGAUUCAACGGAUGUUAAGUAAGCAAAUAAAAUAAAUUUGCAAAUAUAUCGUCCCAAUACCGGGCCACAGGUUCGCACUGAGACGGUCAAUUCAAUAACCGAUUUGUCAAAAGUGCCACCCGAGGUUGCACGUUCAUUUUGGCAGCAUCAAUAUGUGUGUGUCUGACUAGAUGUUCGCAUGUCUUUUGGAAUAGAAUUUGCCCCAUUAAAGGUGGUUGUGAGAUUAUCCACAAGAAUGGACUUAAGAUACAAAUCCUUCGAGUUAAAACCGAUAAUAAUAAGAAAAUUGUUGGUACAGUUGUCCCCCAUGCUGUCUAUAAUGAACUUGUUAACAAUUUGGCCUCUGAUUCCGUAAUGGAAUUUCAAAAUAUACCCAGAAGAAAAGAAUAAAACCAAUUGGCAAUGAUGUAUCCCAUUUUAUUGUCAUUUUUGCAAAGUUUA